This 620-nucleotide ribosomal RNA is filed under the name uncultured bacterium. RNAcentral's name for it is "bacterial SSU rRNA". It matches the Rfam family "Bacterial small subunit ribosomal RNA", at positions 434 to 1069 of the family's 1533-position model. The record is from RNAcentral.
CAGUAGGGACGAAGCGGAAGUGACGGUACCUACAGAAGAAGCACCGGCCAACUACGUGCCAGCAGCCGCGGUAAUACGUAGGGUGCAAGCGUUGUCCGGAAUUAUUGGGCGUAAAGAGCUCGUAGGCGGUCUGUCGCGUCGGCUGUGAAAACCCGAGGCUCAACCUCGGGCCUGCAGUCGAUACGGGCAAACUAGAGUGUUGCAGGGGAGACUGGAAUUCCUGGUGUAGCGGUGAAAUGCGCAGAUAUCAGGAGGAACACCGGUGGCGAAGGCGGGUCUCUGGGCAACAACUGACGCUGAGGAGCGAAAGCGUGGGGAGCGAACAGGAUUAGAUACCCUGGUAGUCCACGCCGUAAACGUUGGGCGCUAGGUGUGGGGGCCAUUCCACGGUCUCCGUGCCGCAGCUAACGCAUUAAGCGCCCCGCCUGGGGAGUACGGCCGCAAGGCUAAAACUCAAAGGAAUUGACGGGGGCCCGCACAAGCGGCGGAGCAUGUUGCUUAAUUCGAUGCAACGCGAAGAACCUUACCUAGGCUUGACAUGCACGGAAAUCUCCCAGAGAUGGGAGGUCCUUUUAGGGUCGUGCACAGGUGGUGCAUGGUUGUCGUCAGCUCGUGUCGUG